UCAAACUUGGUCAUUUAGAGGAAGUAAAAGUCGUAACAAGGUCUCCGUAGGUGAACCUGCGGAGGGAUCAUUCACAUGAUAAAUUAAUUGAAACAAACUGUGAACUUUUUUUCUUUAAAACUAUUCGAGGAUUUUGAAAAAUAUAUCCUUUGACAUUCGAUUGAACAAGAGAUUUCUAGCUGGUGAAUUUUUGAUUGGUGAAUUCCAUUUCAAUUUUUUUUUACUCAGCUUUGGAUUGGAUUUUGAUUUAACAAUCAUUUUCAAUCUUUCCAAAAAACAUAGAAAACAACUCUAUGCCCUGGAUAUCUUGGUUCUCGCAUCGAUGAAGAACGCAGC
RNAcentral lists this unclassified non-coding RNA (336 nucleotides) under uncultured fungus. RNAcentral's name for it is "partial contains small subunit ribosomal RNA, internal transcribed spacer 1, and 5.8S ribosomal RNA". The stretch from base 1 to 73 matches the Rfam family "Eukaryotic small subunit ribosomal RNA", at positions 1759 to 1831 of the family's 1831-position model. The record is from RNAcentral. Lineage: Eukaryota; Fungi.